CCUACGGGUGGCAGCAGUGGGGAAUAUUGCACAAUGGGGGAAACCCUGAUGCAGCGACGCCGCGUGAGUGAAGAAGUAUUUCGGUACGUAAAGCUCUAUCAGCAGGGAAGAAAAUGACGGUACCUGACUAAGAAGCCCCGGCUAACUACGUGCCAGCAGCCGCGGUAAUACGUAGGGGGCAAGCGUUAUCCGGAUUUACUGGGUGUAAAGGGAGCGUAGACGGCAGCGCAAGUCUGGAGUGAAAUCCCAUGGCUUAACCAUGGAACUGCUUUGGAAACUGUGCAGCUGGAGUGCAGGAGAGGGAAGGGGGAAUCCUAGGGUAGCGGGGAAAAGCGGAGAUAAUAGGAGGGAACCCAGUGGGGAAGGCGGCUUACUGGACUGGAACUGACGGUGAGGCUCGAAAGCGUGGGGAGCAAACAGGAUUAGAUACCCCUGGUAGUC
RNAcentral lists this ribosomal RNA (441 nucleotides) under uncultured bacterium. Its description in RNAcentral is "partial 16S ribosomal RNA". It matches the Rfam family "Bacterial small subunit ribosomal RNA", at positions 338 to 795 of the family's 1533-position model. The record is from RNAcentral.